Molecule: long non-coding RNA, 1267 nt
Organism: Clarias gariepinus (North African catfish)
Lineage: Eukaryota; Metazoa; Chordata; Actinopteri; Siluriformes; Clariidae
Exons: 2
Source: RefSeq, a predicted model, not a curated record
AUCUAUCUAUAUAUUUAUUUCAUAUUUAUAUACACUGUAUACGAAAUGUUUUUAGUUAGCUUACAUGUAUUUUAUACAGUUAGCGUUAUAUACGUGAGGUCAGAGGGUUUCCUCUUCUUGUUAUACUGAGGCGCUCUGACAUUACUGAGCUGAACUUAACUAACUUGUUACCGCACUGUACAUGAGGUAAACGAGAUAAACGUUCGUAACCGUUUCUAUCUUCCCCCACCCACCCCCACACUUUGUCUGACUUGUGCCCAGCCACAGCGUACACGGCCGCACGAGCGCUCAGCUAACGAAAGUUCGAGAAGAAGAAAAGGUGUUUAACAGUUAAGGAGUCGCGGCGCUUCAGUACUCGGAAUUCUCUUGUUCUAUUUAACCAGAGCUCUGCUGUGAGGGAUUGGGGUCUUUUAGAGCUACUGGAGGAGCACGAACAAGGUGCUUAAACAAGGGCACUGUAGUCGUUGACGGUCUGGCGGACUGUGCAGCAGCUUUAGGAGUGAUGAUUGGUCAGGUCUGUGCUCUGAACAUUACAUUCCAAUAGGACUGGAUGAAUGGACACCUAUGAAGCCAUUCAGGCGUUUAUUAUUGGACUUGGAGAGACACUAAUAAAUAGAUAGAUAGACUUACUAAUAAAUGAAUUAGUCAGAGAGUGAUACACAUCUGGUGUAUUUUACGGACCUAUAAGCAAAAUAGAGCCUGUAUUCUCUUGUUUUAGACAAAUCACUGUUUUAUCUUUGACUAGUUUAGGAAAAAUAAAGCUUUUUUUAAGUAAUGUUUGUGUGUUUUAAUUGUUGGGGUAUUGUUAGGCCAACUUGUUUUGUAGAAAACAUCAGUGUACUACAAUAGGAGGCAAUUUACCCUUUUGAGCAGAAGAAAAGUUGGGCUGAAAAGUCAACCCUAGAGAAAUAUAAUUAAUUGAGCCCACAAGCCCACUUGAGCUGACUUAAAUAUUUGAGUUACAAGUUGAGUCAACUAAAUUUUUUUUUUGAAUUGAGAUUCAGCAAUGUGAAAUAUUUUGUUUGGCCAGCAUCUUGCUCUAAAACUUGAGUAAACUUUAAAAAGCUGUGCAACUUAUUGCUAAAUCUUUUCUAUGUUGAGGUGGCUUUUUUUUAUUAUUAUUAUUUUUUUUACAAUGUGUACAGGAUAACACGGUAUAGAUGAUAAGUGAGUAAGGGAUCAUACGUUUAUGACUGUACUACUAAACAUUAUAAAAUAAAUGUAAUUUUUUUAGAAAUAUGUUUAUAAAAAUAAACAGUAUAUUAUA